Molecule: non-coding RNA, 1944 nt
Organism: Ictidomys tridecemlineatus (thirteen-lined ground squirrel)
Lineage: Eukaryota; Metazoa; Chordata; Mammalia; Rodentia; Sciuridae
Source: RefSeq, a predicted model, not a curated record
AAGUCUAUACUCUGGGUCAUCUUUGUUCACAUGUGAUCUUACUCUAGGUGCUUUGUUUCUUAAUUCAGAUUUCUGAGAGAGAAAUUUCAUUGGUUUAGUUUAUUUAUUGCAACUUCCUGAGAGGUACCUACACCUUGUUGAAUGAUUGAUGUUCCAGAAUGGGGGCAUUCAUCUGGAAGUUCUGCUUCUAGGGGCUGUAGGUAAUAAUGGGGUUAAGUGACAGGAAGUUGGGAUCUAAACCAACAAACCAUUUCCUAAACUGGAUUCUAAUAGCUGACCCUGAGGGGAGAGUUCUAAUAAGUUUUUGUUUUUGUUUUUGUUUUGGAGAGCUACAUUCAAAGGACUUGAUUUUUAAAAAAUUGAAAUUAGAUAAGACAUCAGGUUUAAGAUACUCUUGAUGUCUUAUUUUCUCUGAAAUCUCUGAAGUGAGCCAGGCUCUGACAGUGGUGGACAAUUUCAGGAGGUAACUUAUGAAGGCGUAGUACCUUGGUGACAGUAUCAGAGGAUUAGAAUUAGCUCCAGUGGAUGACGUCAGAUGUGUCACAAGCACUUUAUGGGACCAUUUAUCAUUGCUGUAAGAGUAGGCUUAAUAACUCAAGAAUGCUAGAGCCCCAAGCAGCUACUCUAGCUGACAGAAGAAAAUGUCUGACUCAAGAUUGACUUCGUAUUUCUUUGUAAAACCCAGGCUUAAAGACUAUAACUUUAGAGAGCUUAUUAUCAGUGUGAUUGAAAAUUCAAAUAACUUUUAAAGUGACCUUUAAAUAAGCCGUACUAUUUAGCUGUUAGUUUAUGUUGUGGAUUUCAAAUCCGGAGAUAUUCUGUCUCCUUCCAAAUGUAAUAUAACAUUGAUUGGUUUUCUCCGUACACUUAACUGCUACAAUAAGACCAAGAUUAUGAAUGUCAGUGCUUCAUAAACAAAGUUCCUAAGUGACCUACAUAUACUGAAUCCCUGGCCAAGUAAAUUGUCUUUUCGUAAUCAGUGUCCUCAUUCUCUCCUAAAAAAACAAAAACAAAACAAAACAAACAAACAAACAAACAAAAAAAAAAAAAACUGGGGAUGUUUUCCAAAAGCUUGGCUUCAGGAUUAUUGAUUGGGACAUCAUUUCAAGAUUUUGUACUUCCAUAACAAAUAUUCAAACAUUUAAAGAAAUGAUACCAGUCAUUUUAGAGAAGCUUUACUCAGUUAUUUUUACCGGAGUUUGCUGUGCUAUGAUUAGAACGAGAAGAUUUGGGAAAGUUUAACUUGGCAUGGUAGAGAGGCAGCUGAGCAGAAAAAUAUUUGGUGAAAAAAGAAUCAAAUAUACAGGAUGCUCAAGACUAAAGUCCUGUAGAUGAGGAAAAUAAAACAAGGCACCCAUAUUAUGUUUCUUCUACAGUGUAUAUUUCGGGUUUUUUUCUGAGAAAUGCCUUAGGUGUGUAUUUAAUGGUAGCAGAGAAAGGCAGUAAUGGCUUGGUAAUUUAAGUUACUUUUUUUUCUCUCUCAAAUUAAACUAUUCUGUCUUGUCUGUGGCAUCUCUAUUGAGUUUUUACCCAAGUCUCCAAAGAAAAUGGCCUUAUUAAUUUUAAUAUUUCAUUGCAGGCUAACAGUCUCAGAAGAAUAGAUUGGUGCUUGAUUGAACUGGAUCCUGAGAUGUUUCUAAAUGAAAAUCUUGUCAGAUAUUCUAUUUUCCUUCUGUGUUUCAAUAUUUGAAUUGUCAUCUAGUAGAAUGGCUUUAGUAUGCUUGAUUUACCAGUGUGGCCAAAACGAAGAUAUUUUUUUUUUAAACAUUAUUUGCAGGGUAGUCGUACUUGUGGAAUUAAUUCUUGAAGCAAAAAAAAAAAACCAAAAACCCAAAAACAAAAAACAACAACAAAAAAAACCAUCUUACAGUAGGACUUGCCGUUUCAUGAUUCUGACAAUCUAGUAUGAACUGAGGUUGUUGAAAUUAAAAAAGUAAAUUUUAA